Molecule: long non-coding RNA, 302 nt
Organism: Bradysia coprophila
Lineage: Eukaryota; Metazoa; Arthropoda; Insecta; Diptera; Sciaridae
Gene: Eph
Source: RefSeq, a predicted model, not a curated record
UCUCAGUCGCACCCCAACAAAUCAAUAAAAAUGUCUCUAUUCGGCUCGCUCUGACACACAACCACCAUCUUGGAUCUUGAUUUAAACAUCUUCAACAUUGGACUGCCAGAGAAACCACACAAAGAUGGCCAAAAAUGUACUGAUGCUAUUGAAAAGUGUGUUGUUUUAAAACAAUUAUUACCAAAAAAAAAUGACAGCAAAUUUGCACCGCAUAAUUUACGUGUUUUUUGUGUUUCGGAUGAAAUGUUUAACGAAAAGAAAUGAAAACAUUUUCGGUUUUUGUGGCAAACGGAUAAAUCUAC